Eriocheir sinensis (Chinese mitten crab) is the source of this 903-nucleotide long non-coding RNA. RefSeq lists it as uncharacterized. The transcript has 2 exons. The record is from RefSeq and is a predicted model, not a curated record. Lineage: Eukaryota; Metazoa; Arthropoda; Malacostraca; Decapoda; Varunidae.
UGUCCAAAGAGUGCCAGGGGUCUGUCAGGGGUCAGUUGGUCGUAUAAUCGGGUUGUCAGUCCAUGUCCAAAGAGUGCCAGGGGUCUGUCAGGGGUCAGUAGGUCGUAUAAUCGAGUUGUCAGUCCAUGUCCAAAGAGUGCCAGGGGUCUGUCAGGGGUCAGUAGGUCGUAUAAUCGAGUUGUCAGUCCAUGUCCAAAGAGUGCCAGGGGUCUGUCAGGGGUCAGUUGGUCGUAUAAUCGAGUUGUCAGUCCAUGUCCAAAGAGUGCCAGGGGUCUGUCAGGGGUCAGUAGGUCUUGUAAUCGAGUUGUCAGUCCAUGUCCAAAGAGUGCCAGGGGUCUGUCAGGGGUCAGUUGGUCGUGGGUUGUCAGGAGUUGUCAGUCCGUGUGUUUUUUUAGUCUGGCUGAGCCGCUGUCUCCCCAGAAGAGUCUCAGCUAUAACUUUGGCGUUGUCUGUUGGUCUGGAUGAGCCACAGUCUCCUCAGAUGAGACUCACUCUUACCAACACACAGCACCGUCUUUUUGUUGUUUUAUGAUUUUUUUGUUGUUUUUAUGUUUUUACAGUUAGUGACGCUCUGCCCUGCUGGGGGGAUUUCUUCUUCCCCGCACGGCAGUUCCUGUUGAAGGCGUCAGUCAUUAUGAUUAUGGUGAUUUGUACCGGUGACCUAAACUGAUAUAAGGGUCACGGCUUGUCUGGCUACUUCUUAGGAAGGUCAGCACGUCUUGCGGGAACUUCAACGCCCCCCCCGCCGGACCUUCGGGAUCCCCGGCACCGCCAUGGACGCCCCGGGGGAGCCAGGGCGCCCUACCGACGCCCCUCCAGUCCUGCGAUGCUCACCAGCAAGACCAAGGGCUCGCUGGCGCUCCCCAGCUCCGACGAUUCGAGGAGGGCGGGUGCAAGAACGCG